RNAcentral lists this long non-coding RNA (777 nucleotides) under Mytilus galloprovincialis (Mediterranean mussel). The record is from RNAcentral. Lineage: Eukaryota; Metazoa; Mollusca; Bivalvia; Mytilida; Mytilidae.
GCGCUUAAACUAAAACAAGAAAUAAACCAAAGAAAGUUGAUUGAUAUAUGAAAUAAAAUGUUUGUUUUCUCUUAUUUUGAAUCAAAGGAAAUAAACCUUUCCCCCGAAUCAGUUGGUCUGUACCUAAAUAUUUGAUUUUUAGCAAAUUGAACUGUCCCAUUGAAGAAAGCCAAAUAUAUUGUUUUAUGUGGAUUUCUUUCAAUGGGAACUUAACAUUUCUCAUUAAUAUUUCAUUUGGAUGUUUGUGUCAUUCAGUUGCUGCUUUGUUAGCACAUAUCUUCUUCAAUAGGGCUCUUCACAGUUAGUUGGGCCAUAUUGGAUAGGGGGCAGAUUUUCAUAUAAGAGGUAAAAAUGGUGUCAAAAAUAUGGGAAAACAUCAUUAAAACAGAGCUUGGAAACAUGCAUAGGAUUUCCAAUAAUUUCAUACUAUUUCACCUCUUUCCAAAAAAUUUGCCCCCUAUCCAAUAUGGCUGAACUAACAGUGAAGAGCCCUAUUCAUUCCUUCCAAUAAAAUUUCAGUGGAAUACCAGAGAGAUCGUGAUUCAUGAACCACUACAGUGAUUUUCUGCUUAAUUCUUCACGUUCAAGCUCUAGAUCCACCCUUUCAUAUAUUACUCUCAAAUAAUAAUGAAUCCAAGGUCAGCUGAAUAAUGUCAAUGGUCAUGGAACAUUUUUAGAAAGAAAGAUGUGAAAUAAAGUAUAUCUAAUGAACAAAUAUGUUAUUAUUGAUGCAAUACAACAGUUAUUCUCAACAGAAAUUUUAUUUUUCGUUUUUGA